This 211-nucleotide non-coding RNA is filed under the name Bacteroides sp. RNAcentral's name for it is "6S RNA". It matches the Rfam family "6S / SsrS RNA". From Rfam's summary of the family: E. coli 6S RNA was the first non coding RNA to be sequenced, but its function was unknown until recently. It consists of 184 nucleotides that fold into an extended hairpin structure with a large single-stranded internal bulge. The 6S RNA specifically associates with RNA polymerase holoenzyme containing the sigma70 specificity factor. Lineage: Bacteria; Pseudomonadati; Bacteroidota; Bacteroidia; Bacteroidales; Bacteroidaceae. The record is from RNAcentral. RNAcentral also lists the same sequence under 2 other names.
UGUUUCCUGGGGUGUUCGCCAACCCACUAUUUUGAACCUACAUUUAUUGACAGGGAUUCUUAUAUCUGUAAUCUAAUGUCAGGCCUCCGGUGACAUAAUUGUCACGGUGCGCAUUAGCGCAUCAGUCAGUGGAAGGCAGCGGAUUGCAUGCGGUUACCCACCUAGCUUUGCUAGGCGUCGAGAUCGUGGGAAACGGCAUUUUGGGAGCAUU